Long non-coding RNA from Clupea harengus (Atlantic herring), 2180 nucleotides. The record is from Ensembl. Lineage: Eukaryota; Metazoa; Chordata; Actinopteri; Clupeiformes; Clupeidae.
UGUUUAUUCAGUGUCUUCAAUCACAUUGUUUGCUUUACAAUAACACUCAAAAGAAAUACAACCACAACUUGGACAAUAAAACUCAACUCAAACAUAAAAUGAAACUCAAAAACUGAAACAAAAUGCAUCUAUCUAAGACAACAGGAGACACAAUCAACAUUGACAAUAUGAGGGACUGGGUUAAGUUUUUAGGCAGGGGCUUGGAGAUAUGAACAUGUAUUAGGACUUCAGGACAAAGGCUAAGGAACAUGGGUUAAUGUAGGGUGAUGGUAGCAAAAGUAAGGGGUUAGGGCUAAGGACACAAAAACAGACGCUGAUGAUGGAAGAUAAAAGCAUAAGUUGGGCCUGAAGGCUUUUGAACUUGGGGUAAUGUUGGAGGGUGGUGUAGUAGCGCAGGUCUGAGCUUUAUUGUGCUCGGGGGGGGGGGCAAAAUACAUGGGGCAAUACAGCAUGUAAGAUCAGAAGCCAAUGGUAGAAUUUUGUGUUGUACAAGAGAACAGAAGAUACAUAUUGAUGAGUUAGAAGGAGGGGAUGGGGGUAUAGGUUAGGGUUUUGUCUGCUGUAGGAUAUGAAGUGAUUACUCUCCUAGUCUAAAACAAUACACACGUGAAACCGCACAAUACAUUAUAAGUGAAUCAUAGGUAGUGUACUGUUGAUUAUUUGGCCUUCACGGAAGGUGAGAUGGUAGCGGAAUUGUCUGAUAACACAGUAAACAUUAGCACAAGGAUGUCAGUGUGUGUGUGUGUAUGUGUGAACAUAAGCAUGUAUGUGUGUGACUUUCCAUUAAGUCCUUGUGUGUGUAGAGUACACUUGCAUGUGUGCUUUUCAAGUUUUUUCUUCAAGCAUUAUUCUGUUCAGAGAGGAUUUUAUAUUUCACAUAUUUCUAUUGUGACAGAUUUCUAACAGAUGCAAGUAAUGGGAUCUGAACAUUCUUCUGGCGUGUUCUCUUCCCAGAGUUCCCAUUGCAGUGUGCGUCAGUAUCUGUGAUCUGGAAGCAUUCAGAAUAGCCAAUAAAUAAACAAGUUAACAUAUCAAUCUGUAAAUAAACAGGAAAAACAAAGAGGUUAAGAUGUAAGACUGAUGGGCUUCACUAAAGGAGCUCAAACAGGUUUGUGUGUGUGUGUGUGUAUGUGUGUGUGUAAGGGUGGGUGAGUGGCUAUGGGUGAGUUAGUGUUUUAUCAACACGUGUUUGUGUGUGUGUGUGUGUGUGUGUGUGUGUGUGUGUGUCUGUGAGACAGUGUGUGUGUGUGUGUGUGUGUGUGUGUGUGUGUGUGUGUGUGUGUGUGUGUGUGUGUGUGUGUGGGUGUGGGUAUGUCUGUGCAAUGAAUGCGUUCUGUGUAUGUGACAACAGGCAUCAUAGUGAUUGGUCCUAGAGGUCGGGGUUUCAUUCUGCAAAAGAAAAGUGUACACACACACACACACACAAACACACACACACACAUACAGAAGGAAAGACAGCACAGCAGAGUUUUUUUCAGAUAUUUACUUGCCACAACAACCAAACCAAUGUUAAAGUCUUUAGUAUAGAGGGUCUGCAUACGACGUCACAGUAGGCAUGGGUCACUGCAGUGAUACCCACUGCGUGUCUGAAAGACAAACUUACUGAGUAGCAGCAUUUAGCUUGACAUUGUCCCUAAAUACUAUCCUUUUCACCUUCCUCUCCAUAGUCUUUUACUUAAAUACAUCUCUAUCACAUAUCAUUUCAAUGAAUGUGUGUUUACUAGAACUUUAGAUAUCGUUGUGUGAUGUCUCAGACGAGUUGUUACAGUUCAAUUAGAUAUGUUUUUUGGGUUUUCCCAGAAUUUAAGAGUCCUGUCACUGCUAAUGGUGGGAUUACGAAAAUAUACACCUGCCACACAAUUGUCCAGUUUAUUCAGGAAUUUUGGAGACUAUCAGAGUAUCUGUUCUCUCCAUGUCCAUCUGCCUCUGUUUCAUUGCCCUCCCAUUGAUUCCCAAUUCCCGUCAAAAUCAGGUGGAAAGAACCAGUGGUUCUUUGGUAAGCUGUAAGGAUCAGGGUUGAGUCCAACUGCUUAAUUUCAGCAUGUAACCGUUUGUUUUACUCCGGUUUUUGCAGGUUCCCCUAUUAAGGGCAACCAUGUUGCAGCAUAUGUUGAAAUCAGUGCAAAGGGACAUCAAGGCAUACCUUCUAUAGUGUGUGUGUGUGUGUGUGAGUGUGUUUU